CGAAGGAUUCGAGCGUUAUCCGGAUUUAGUUGGGUUUAAAGGGUGCGUAGGUGGACUAAUAAGUCAGUAGUGAAAGCCCGCAGCUUAACUGCGGAACUGCCAUUGAUACUGUUAGUCUUGAGUACAGUUGAGGUGGGCGGAAUGUGUCAUGUAGCGGUGAAAUGCUUAGAUAUGACACAGAACACCGAUUGCGAAGGCAGCUCACUAAGCUGUAACUGACACUGAGGCACGAAAGCGUGGGGAGCAAACAGGAUUAGAUACCCUGGUAGUCCACGCCCUAAACGAUGAUUACUCGAUGUUGGCGAUACACUGUCAGCGUCUAAGCGAAAGCAUUAAGUAAUCCACCUGGGGAGUACGACCGCAAGGUUG
Molecule: ribosomal RNA, 369 nt
Filed under: uncultured organism
Description: bacterial SSU rRNA
Rfam family: Bacterial small subunit ribosomal RNA
Source: RNAcentral